RNAcentral lists this unclassified non-coding RNA (402 nucleotides) under soil metagenome. RNAcentral describes it as "partial contains 5.8S ribosomal RNA, internal transcribed spacer 2, and large subunit ribosomal RNA". The stretch from base 1 to 121 matches the Rfam family "5.8S ribosomal RNA", at positions 35 to 154 of the family's 154-position model. The record is from RNAcentral.
GAUGAAGAACGUAGCGAAAUGCGAUAAGUAAUGUGAAUUGCAGAAUUCAGUGAAUCAUCGAAUCUUUGAACGCACCUUGCGCCCUUUGGCUAUUCCGAAGGGCAUGCCUGUUUGAGUGUCAUGAACACCUCAACUCUCAUGGUUCGCCAUGAUGAGCUUGGACUCUGGGGGUCUUGCUGGCCUAUGGUCAGCUCCUCUCAAAUAAAUCAGCUUGCCAGUGUUUGGUGGCAUCACAGGUGUGAUAACUAUCUACGCUUGUGGUUUUCCAUCAGGUAACCUUCAGUGAUGGAGGUUCGCUGGAGCUCAUAAAUGUCCCUCCUCAGCGAGGACAGCUUUUUGAACGUUUGAUCUCAAAUCAGGUAGGACUACCCGCUGAACUUAAGCAUAUCAAUAAGCGGAGGA